Bos taurus (domestic cattle) is the source of this 1560-nucleotide long non-coding RNA. The record is from Ensembl. NCBI's taxonomy places the organism in Eukaryota, Metazoa, Chordata, Mammalia, Artiodactyla, Bovidae.
GCUUGUCAUCCAAGCUGGCUGUCACGAGGCUCAAAUUGGAAGCAGGUGAAUCUGCCUGAUGAGAGUUGAAAGAGGGAAGUGGGGAAGAGCAGGAAGGAGGGAGGGGCAGAGAGAGGAAAGAAUACAUUUCAGAAUCAACAGAAUCUGUGACUCUCUGUACUAACUAGGGUGACAAGGGUUGGAUAGGAACAAGAGUAAGGGACAUAUGUUCCUGCAGGAGGGAAAAUGCUUCUUAUAUAAUAAGUAAAGGGCAAAAGUAAUCUUAAAUGCGAGUAGAAGGUAGGGAAAGCUGCCUGUGGUUAACAUGGGGAUGCACCCCUAGGUCCCCUUUCCUGAAUGGAGGGUUUACUCCCUCACGUGGUGGAAAUGCUGCUGGAAGGAGACCCCCCCCAGCUGUCAGCCUCCUUUGGGGAAUGCCUGAGCUAAAGGAAGCUGCUCUGCCCAAGGUCAUGCUUUUUCUUCAGUGGCUGCCACUUCUUCAGUGGCCCAACCCUCUUGCCCCGACUGGGGACACCUGAGAGGGGCCAGCGCAGCCUCAGAGCUUUCCAGGAAGCUUCGAGCACUGCUGAUUUUCCUACUCUUCAUACUCAGUGGGCCUGGGAAAAUUACAAGCUGCUUGACUGACAAUGCACUGUCUUAUUUUUGAUGGAGGCAGAGCUGAGGAUCAAAGACAAGUGAAACCCAAAUGUGAAGUGAAAGCAAGCUGACCUUGGCUCACGGGUUCCCUUCAAAAGCAAUUAUAUACUUCAUGUGUAGGAAUCUGUGAGCAGAAGAGCUGGAGCUAGUGGUGAAGAACCUGCCUGCCAAUGCAGGAAAUGUAAGAAAUGCGGGCUUGAUCCCUGGAUCACGAAGAUCCCCUGGAGGAGGGCAUGGCCACUUGAGUAAUCUCACCUGGAGAAUCCCAUGAACAGAGGAGGCUGGUGGGCUACAGUCCAAAGGGUCACAAGGAGUUGGACACAACUGAGUGACUGAGUACAGCACAGCAUAGCACACAUGAGCAGAGGGCUGAUAAGAAAAUAACAAGGAAUUCUUAUAAUUACUUCCUAGAUCAGGGUUUUGUUUACAGGCACAAAGACAUGGCUUUUGUUUUCAACUCUGUCAUAAUCUCAUCCCCAAACUCUGAAUCAAGGAUUGAAUAUGGUGUAAGCACAAUAACCAGGUACUCUCUUCAGUUGGUUUUGAAACCACUUCAGUGAUUUUAAGAAAACAGACUUUCUACAAUCUGGCAGUAAACUGACCAGCUUGGGAUAUUUUUGCAUAUACAUUUCUUACUUUUCUGAAGAAAAAACUGGUAUGCCAGAAUUUUUCAAAGCUAAAAUUAUGGUAUAAGCAACAACUCUGUAGGCAGCCUGUGCUUCAACAUGCAAAAGCAGAAACAGGAAAGUCAGCCAGGCUAGGAGGGCCUGGUCAAGCAUAUGACACUGUGGGAUCACUGAAUGACAGGCAGGAUCCACUACAAUACCGCCUUUGAAAUGCCUUGCAAAGCAAUCUUAUGUCUAGAAAAUAAAGCCCUCAACUCCAGGCCUGAACUCACCCCACUCAUCCCACUCUCAUCCCUAC